Molecule: long non-coding RNA, 2276 nt
Filed under: Capra hircus (goat)
Lineage: Eukaryota; Metazoa; Chordata; Mammalia; Artiodactyla; Bovidae
Description: lncRNA (ENSCHIG00010003730.1)
Source: RNAcentral
AAAUGGAGGUCUUGAUACUUGCUAAAAAUCUGUUGCGCAUUCAAAAGGCCUCUUCGUAGUUGAGUAAUCCACCUACAGUUAAGCACAUCUCAACCUGGGUUUCAUUCCUGUCUCCUCCACGUUAUUUUUAGAAGCAGUGAUACAUCUUAACACAUGCUUCCUUAACGCUUUCCUUCAGUAGGUGUUCACGGGGAAGGAGACAGAUCAGUGAAGCCAUAAUGGGCCGUGGAGACCUUCCCUUCUAGGUUAUUGAUUGAGAAUAAAAAUAAGCCACAAAGAGUAAUUGAGUAGUUACUAUUUGAUAGUUCCUUCAAAGCUGGUGUGCAGCAUAAUGAUCAGAGCAGUCCCCUUUCUCAUGAUUGCAUGGAGUCACGGUUUUUUACGGGGUGGCCACAGCAGGCAAGCUGGCAGCAUUGGCCGAGACCAGAGAGUCUCUUGAGUCCAUGUAGGAGGCCUGCCUAUCUCAGACCAGACUCCCUGGUGGAAGAGCCCACUGGCCUAUUUUCUGUGGAGAAUGUGUGUUUUUCUUUUUUUUUUUUUUUUUUUAAAUAUGAUUUGUGAAAAGCCAGUUUGCUUUACAUAGGAAGUAGAGAUUUACUUCUGCAUUUUAUUCACUAAGGUUCAAUAAAAAUCUGGGCCGAUUUCACAACAUUUAACUUACGUAAAAAAUUGAAAACAAUGGGAACUAAUUAGUCAAAUCAUUUUUCUUCCUUUUUGUGUUUUUCCAAGAAGCUGAAAAAUAUUCCUUGGUGUUCAUGAAUCUUUUUUUCCCCCCUAGAUGAAACCACCAUUAGCCUUAAUGAUAUGGUGUCCCUUUUACCUAAAAGAAAUAGGCCUCAGUGGAGCAUGGCAGAGAGUGUAAAUAAAACAUAUAUACAAUAUUUAAAUACUGAGUCCUCGCCUAGAAAAUAUUUGAAUUGUAUAUUUAUUUUAAAACCUAUUUUGGUUCAAGCCAGGANNNNNNNNCAUUUUACUCUCUGAGAUUUGUCCUUUGAAAUCAGUAAUGAAAUGAUCUAUAAAGUCUAUUCUUUGCUAAUGUGAAGUGAAGUGAAAGUUGCUUAGUGGUGUCUGACUCUUUGUGACCCCAUUCUCCAGGCCCGAAUACUGGAGUGGGUAGCCUUUCUCUUCUCCAGGGGAUCUUCCCAAUACAGGGAUUGAACCCAGGUCUCCCGCAUCGCAGGCGGACUCUUUACCAGCUGAACCACAAGGAAAGCCCCAAAAUACUGGAGAUGGUAACCUAUCCCUUCUCCAGGGGAUCUUCCUGACCUAGGAAUCGAACUGUCUCCUGCAUUGCGGGCAGAUUCUUUACCAAACUGAGCUAUCAGGGAAGCCCCAUGCUUUGCUAAUGGGAAGAACAAAUGCUCGUAUUUUCUGUAGAACAUUUGCUUUGAAAUAUGUUUCUAAAGCACAACUUGAUCAAUGUUUAUGGGUAACCAGAAGUGUAGUGAACAAUUACCAAGCUUGCCAACAAGCCCAUCAAGGAGUGUUUAUUUCAGAUCGCUGUUUGGACAGAGGGUGAACAUUUAUGACUUUGUUCUUUGGGUCCAGCCUGGUGUCUGACUGUGUCAUCUUAGGGAGUAUGACAGUAAAGCUAAAUUCUUAACCCAGGAGCCAAUAUCCUGUUUAUAAGUGCUCUGUACAUUUGAAGAUGCUAGAGAAAAUUUACUUUNNNNNNNNNNNNNNNNNNNNNNNNNNNNNNNNNNNNNNNNNNNNNNNNNNNNNNNNNNNNNNNNNNNNNNNNNNNNNNNNNNNNNNNNNNNNNNNNNNNAUAAGUGCUCUGUACAUUUGAAGAUGCUAGAGAAAAUUUACUUUGAAGAGAGAAAAUAGUUAUUUCAACCUCACUCCCAAUAGAGUCACUCAGGUGAUUGUCAAAAUAAGUUCACCCUUUGAUCUAACAGCCAACUUGCAAUUUUCUCUGGCAAGUUGGCCUCUGAGUUUGACUUCCUUAUCUGUAAAAUGGGAAUAAGGAAAUAUGGUCUGCUUUUUCCAAAGGAUGUGUAAGAAUGAACUGAGAUCACACAUGUAAAAAAUGCUUUGCAAACUUACUUGCGUUUGAAUGCUGUGAAAAUAAAAGAUGAACCACUGUUUCUUUAAACUUUUCUGUUCUCAUCUUUCUCUCCAGAUUGGUGACAAACCUGUACUUUGACAUUAAGUUUGAAUGGUACUUAAAGAACUAGUUUAGAAGAGGAGGCAGAUAAAUGUCUAAUCAACCCACCUGCUUUACUUAUUUUAGAAUCUUUGUGAAAUGAAAGUCAGUCGUGUCCGACUCUUUACGA